UUCCGUAGGUGAACCUGCGGAAGGAUCAUUAACGUAUUACAGUUAAAAUGUAUGCUCCAGAAGCAUCGUCUGUUUUACAAAAAAUAUAAAAAUUGCUUAAGCACAAAUGAUAGUUAUUAAAUUAAUUAUUUUUUUGUUGUCUUAAUGCAAAAUUGUUGAACGAGCCGUCAGUUAUAUAACGCUUGUUUCGUUAAACUGUUCUGGCCAGUGAAGUGUCUGCCGUGGUAGCCUUGUAAAGGACCCUCAUAGCACAUGUGAGUCUUCACUUAUAUAUAAAUUAUAAGUAUUAGCAUUGUGUGAUUGUUGUUCCGUGGCUUUUAAAUGAAUUUUCGCCCGGCGCCUUUAAACGGCAUUUCUAUGCUAGUGUCACGCGCGUUUGGUAUUGAUCUUUAGAUCAAAAAUUCAGGCGUUAGCGUAUCAGCUGGCCGGUGCGGGUGUUGUUUGAAAUUAAUUUUUCUUACUGAUAUUCGCACCAAACCGCUUUGAAGCAAGCUUUAAACGUUAAUAAUUUAUUAUUAUCGUGAGAUUCUUGUCUGUCAAAAUCGGUCUAUCGAACUUUGAAAUAAAAACAUACAAAAUGUAAAUGAUUACCCUGAACGGUGGAUCACUUGGCUCGUGGGUCGAUGAAG
RNAcentral lists this unclassified non-coding RNA (629 nucleotides) under Leptopilina sp. BN-2010c. RNAcentral describes it as "partial ITS1". The record is from RNAcentral. Lineage: Eukaryota; Metazoa; Arthropoda; Insecta; Hymenoptera; Figitidae.